RNAcentral lists this ribosomal RNA (437 nucleotides) under uncultured Oscillospiraceae bacterium. Its description in RNAcentral is "partial 16S ribosomal RNA". It matches the Rfam family "Bacterial small subunit ribosomal RNA", at positions 341 to 792 of the family's 1533-position model. The record is from RNAcentral. Lineage: Bacteria; Bacillati; Bacillota; Clostridia; Eubacteriales; Oscillospiraceae.
ACGGAAGGCAGCAGUGGGGAAUAUUGGGCAAUGGGCGAAAGCCUGACCCAGCGACGCCGCGUGAAGGAAGAAGGUCUUCGGAUUGUAAACUUCUUUUAUGAGGGACGAAGGACGUGACGGUACCUCAUGAAUAAGCCACGGCUAACUACGUGCCAGCAGCCGCGGUAAUACGUAGGAGGCAAGCGUUAUCCGGAUUUACUGGGUGUAAAGGGCGCGUAGGCGGGGAUGCAAGUCAGGUGUGAAAUCUAUGGGCUUAACUCAUAAACUGCACUUGAACCUGUAUCUCUUUAGUGCUGGAGAGGUAGAUUGAAUUCCUUGUGUAGCGGUGAAAUGCGUAGAUAUAAGGAAGAACACCAGUGGCGAAGGCGAUCUACUGGACAGUAACUGACGCUGAGGCGCGAAAGCGUGGGGAGCAAACAGGAUUAGAUACCCUGGUA